GGUUCUUGUUUCUCUUCAAAUUGUAUAAAUCUUUUGCCUUUUACUAAAGAUUUCCAUGGAGAGAAACUGCAAGAGUUUAACCCAAUUUUUUGAUACCCUGCUUGUUAGUGGGGUG
Poecilia formosa (Amazon molly) is the source of this 115-nucleotide small nuclear RNA. Its record names the gene U5. It matches the Rfam family "U5 spliceosomal RNA". Rfam says of the family: U5 RNA is a component of both types of known spliceosome. The precise function of this molecule is unknown, though it is known that the 5' loop is required for splice site selection and p220 binding, and that both the 3' stem-loop and the Sm site are important for Sm protein binding and cap methylation. Lineage: Eukaryota; Metazoa; Chordata; Actinopteri; Cyprinodontiformes; Poeciliidae. The record is from Ensembl.